RNAcentral lists this long non-coding RNA (9163 nucleotides) under Homo sapiens (human). Its description in RNAcentral is "HSALNT0089620". Lineage: Eukaryota; Metazoa; Chordata; Mammalia; Primates; Hominidae. The record is from RNAcentral.
GUGAACAGUACACACAGCAUUUCUGAUGUAAUCCCUACUUAUAUAAACCAGGAUGUUCCUGAGAGAUUUAAGCCACAGUUGACUUUCUUCUCUCCUGUCAAUGUCCUGAGCGUCCUUGGCCUACUCUGGACAUACAAUUUCUUAAGCGAGGUGAAAACUGAGCAGGACCUGGAAGGAUGGAUGGGUUUCAAGAGGAAGAGACAGAAGAAAAGAAAGGAAGGAGGAAAAGCUGUCCAGCAGAGUGAAGUCCCAGGAAGACGAUUCAAGGUGCACUACUGAACUGGCUUUUUGUCGGAAGAUAACUCCCUCACUCUGAUAAGAACUCCUGCUCCAUCUUUCGGCUGCAAAUGGGGCUGGAUGGUCAGUGACCCAGGGUGGAUUAUCCAACUGCGGCUCACGCAGCACCUCCAUUGCUCUGGGUUCUAAGCAGCUGGGUCCGCCGCUGCCCCGGCACCUCUGUCACGGUGUGCCAGGGGAAUGGAAGCAGAUGGGCGUACAACCCAGCGUUAGUGAAAGUUUUGGUGGGGGAGAAAGUUAAAGCCACUGGCUGAUACUGAGAGUGGGCGAUUUAUUUCAUCAAGCCUUUAUCAAAGACAAUGAGGGAGGUCACUGCUUCUUGUCAACCCACUUGGAAGUUUCUUCUUGACUUUAUUUCUAAAAUAUAUCUUGCCUCGGCCUCUUCUCUCUGCUCCCAUUGUCAAUGGCACUGGUCUAGACCAAGGCUCAUCUUAACUUCUGUGAUCACAUCCUAACAGGUCUCCAGGCAGAUUUGUCUCCUAAUCUCUUGUCCAUUCAGCAGCCAGUGUUUUAAGACAUAAAUAAGAUCAUGCCACACCCAUGAUUAAAAGCUUCCAGUGCUUUCCAUCAUAUUUGGAAUAACAUCCUCUUCUAAAAUUAUUUAAACACAGCCUACAAUGAUCUGAUCCCAGUCUGCCUGGCCCACACCACCUCAUCUAACGGUGACCCCCGCUGACAUCUGCUACUCUGGCCUCCCUUCUUUCCUUAAACACGUGAAGCUCACUGCAGCCUCAGGGGCUUUGCACUUCCUUCUCUCUGCCCAAGAUGAUCCUCCCCAAGCUUUUGAGACAGCUGGCUUCUCAUUUCUCAAUCCUCAUCUCAAAAAGAGGUCUUUAGGCUAAUCUCUCUGAAGUAAAGCCUUCAUCUUACCACAAUCCCAUUAUCUUUGGGAUAGAUAACUAUCCAAAGUUCUCUUUUUUCCGUAAGUAUUGUCUGUCUUUCCUCACUAAAAGUUUUACAAAAGCAUUACUGCCUCCCUAGCACCAGCAACAGUACAAGAUAGAUGCUCAAUGGAUAUCUGAUAAACAGAUGGAUGAGGGGUUCUAUCAGUGAACCCUACUUCAGACCUCUAUGCCCUUCUCAAGACCUCAGUUUCCUCAACUGGGAAAUAAAGAUGGCUGAUUCUAAGAUUUCUAAAUUCUCUUCCAGAGCUAAUAUUCUGAAAUUCUAAACCAGAGGCUGGCAAACAUUUUCUGCAAAGAGCCAGUUAAUAGUUUAGGUUUUGUGGACUAAACAGUCUGUCAAAACUGCUCAUCUCUGCCACUGUAGGAAAAAGUAGCCAGAGGCAACACAUAAACAAGCAGAUGUGGCUAAGUUCCGGUAAAACUAAACUUACGAAAGCAGGUUGUGGGAUGUGUGUAGUCCGUGGUCUGUAAUUUACCAGCCCUUCUUCUGUACAACAGCAUUUCCUGCUACUCUCUCAGGAGGUGGCUGGUUUAUCUCCCAAGCCCUUUGUCCCACUGUCACUUCAGACCAUUAUCUCCAUCUCUCCCUUCAACUCCUUUCUGCCUUGAAGCCGCUGCCCUCAGGUUACAACCACUCACUACCGCUCAUUGUUGCCUUUCCUCUAUAGACCUUCAGCCACUCGUUUGCCUUCCCUGAAUGAGUUAGCACACAGCACAAGUUCUCCCCCUCCCACUAGCGCUAAUCCUGUCAAAAUUCUCAGUAUUUUCAAUUCUAUAAACUUAGUCCUUCCACCACCCUGGCCUCUCAUCCUCUGGACUUUCUCAUCUCCAAUGACCUUGCCCUUCACCCAACCUCGGCCACCAUCUCCCAUUGUUAUUACCAACAUCUGCACUUCACCCUCUUAAGUCUAUUCUCCACACAGCAGUCAGGAGGUACCUUUCAAACCACAAGUCAAGUCCCUCCUCCACUCAAAAUUCUCUAAUGCUUCCCAUCCCACUCAGGAUGAAAUUCCAAGUCCUUCUCUCCCGCCAUGCAACCUGAGACCUAGUGAACCCUGGACUCAUCGCCUGCACUGCUCACCCCACCCUCCCUUCCCUCAGCCUGUGCUGUCCCCCUGCCUGCUCCUCAGGCGAGCCUGGCACUUCCAUGCACCAGGACCUUUGUGCCGGCCAUUCCCUACGCCUGGAAGACUCUCCCUCAAGAUACCACUUAGCUUUCUUCCUUCAUGUCCACUUACAUAUCAUUAUAUCAAAGAGGCCUUCCCUGGCCACCCUAUCUAAAACAGAGCGAUCCCAACUCCAUCACCCUCUCUCUCCCUUAUCCUGCUUAUUUUUCUUCAUAGCACUUGAUACAACCUGACAUAUUUCUUUCUUUAUAUUUGGCUAUUUCUAGAAAUAUAAGUUCCAGCCGAGUAAGGACCUUGUCUUGUUCUGCUGUAUCCUCAGCACCAAGACCACAGUGCAUGGCACUUAGCAGGUGUUCAAUAAACAUUUUCUGAACGUGUCGACCCAAACCCUUCUCACAGCAGUUUACCUUCUUUCAGUGCUGCUGCCAGUAAUGAGGCUGCCUGGGGAGGCUCGCCUGGGUCAGGUUUAAUAAGGAGGUGGGGCUCUAGAUGGACGUCCUCAAAUCCGCUCAGUUCUCCAAGUUCAGCAUAGAUAUGCAGCUUCUCCUCCAAAUACGCACAAAUUUGUUGGUCUUGGUUAGUGAGUAUUUCUAUGAAAUAGUAUUUACCAUAGAAGAUUAUCACUAACAUGAAUACAACCACUAAUGUGAAAGUCCACGAAAAAGAUGUUGCUAAUUAGCAAGCAGUAAGACCUCCAAGAGAAAACCCAGGUUGAUGAGUGGGGCAGAUGCAGGUCUCAGUCCUGACCAUGCCACUUAGUGACUGUGGCCUCCAGCAAGUGACUUAACAACUUUCUCAGCUUCCAUUGUCUUUUCUGUAAAUAAGGUUCCUUUCUCAGUCCCCUACUUCCAGAAAAUUUGCAAAGCUAUUCUUUGUUUGUUCAGGCUGUUUUCUAUUAAGACUAAACAUUAAGCUUAGGAAUGAAAAUUGAGGCGGCCCUGUCCAUGAUGAGUGAACAAUACAAAUGCCUGGAACGGCACAGGCUAAACCAAACAUACUGGUUUAAGUUUUUGUUUCUAAACAUCCAAUUUCUUUGCCCAUCUUUGCAUGCAUCAUUGUCCUCAGAUUUCAACAUGUUACAGAAUUCUUAAAGCUCAAAGGGACCUUAACUAGCAUUGAAUCCAGGAAUUCUCAGUCCCCUCUGUGCUUCAAAGUCACCUUGGGAGAGCUGAAAACCCCAAAGUCUACAUCCCACCUGCCACAGAUUCGGAUUCAAUCGGUGGAGGGUGAGGCCCAGGCAUCCGUAUUUUUAAAGACCUCUCAACUGAUUCCAGUGUCCAACCAGAGUAGAGAAUCACUGAGCUAGUCUAAUCUCCUUCUUUCACACACUUGCAAACUGGGGACAAGAUCUGUUGGGUUCCUUGUCCAAAGUCAUUGACAUGACAGUGCUGAGACCUAAAAUUAAACCAUGAGACAAAUAAUUCCAACAUUCAUCUGCACCACACUGCCCACAGCUGUUGUUUCAUAUAUGUUAUGUGCAUUUUUUACAUCCAUUUUAAUCACUAAGGUGGAAGUGAAGAGAAUGUCAUCUUAUUUGAGCAUUUCUAGUGUAAGUUUCUCGGGAGGGUGGUCCAGGUGGGCCUCAGGUGCACAGGAUGAAUCAUGUAGUUAUAACCUCCUGUUCAUGACACUCAGGCUUUCCCAACACCCAGGAGAACACCACGACCAGGGAGCCAGAAGUGCCUGCACUGUACCUUGACAUUGCUGAAUUUUGGCCACUCUGGCUUCAGCUUUCCUCUUGUCUUCAUCAGAUUCACUUGUCCUUCCCCCUUUUUCUUCAGGACAACUUUAAAAGACAAUAGUCAAGAGACACAACUGAAACCAAAUGCAAGUAUCUGUAGAUUCAUUAGAAAAACAUGGGAACUUGGCAAUAGAUUUAUUCAUAAAGGAGAAAAUUUCAGCAUAAAGGGAAUGCAUCAUCCCCCCUGGCCAGAGACUUGGUUUUCUUGAGAAUACAAAGAAUCUUGCAUAACAUUACAUGGCUCUCAAAAUCGGUGGUGUGGGAUGACUCAAAUAUUCCAGUGAACACAAACAUACACUCACCACACACACCCAUAAUGGGAAUAAAGUAUAAGAAUUGUAAAGGAUAGAAGUGGGGUGCCAGGGCAGAUGGGGUGCAGUAGAGGUAGAGAAAUUUUAUAUAACUUCAGGAUCUAACUAAUCAAACUACUGUUGAGAAUGAUCACCCCCACCCUUGUGCUCCCAAUUAUAAAAACUGUCCUUGCACAAGUAAUGAGGAAUAAAUUGACUUAGAAUACUUAGAUCCACCAAUUCAGAAACAUUUAUUGAAUGAUUUCUCAGCACUAGGCACACAGAGAAACAUAAGACAUGAACCCUGCCCUCGAGGAGCUUCCAAUCUAAUUAAAUAAACACACACAUAUGUACAUAAAAAAGAUAAUAGCUACAAGGCAGUAUAUAAGAAGCAUCAAGUAAAUGCUUUAGUGAGCAGGUGUUAAAGAAUUUCAGGCAAGAAAGAGAUCACCAGGACUGAAGGGGUCCUCAUGGAGGAGGGGAGGCCCGAGCUGCAUCAACGCCCGGCAGGGUGCACACAGGCAGAGGGAGGUGCAGGCAUUACAUGCAGGGAGGCGUGGAGGAGAAAGCUGCAGAUGGGGGGCUAUCGCAGGCAGGUGCAGGGGGCAGGGGGCAGACCAUUCUGGCAGAGGCAAAGUUUUCAUGCAGGAAGACAUGGUUAGAAUAUUUUCCCCAGUUGAACAACUCUGUUCCAUAGAUUAUGGACGGAAGGAAAUGUUACCUUUCUACAGCCUGCUGGAUCCGUCUCAUCCAGUUAUUGCGUUCCUCCUUGGAAUUGGUGUGAAUUUCAUACAUCUCAGGACCAGCAGAUGAAGCACUGAUCAGAAACAUUCCUCUCUCCUCAUUAGCAACUUCUCUAGCAAUAAGCUUUUGAAGGGAAAUAACUGAUGGCUUCUGAUCCUACAUAAAAUAGGAAGGUGAGCAGAUGAAACAGCAUCCUAGCUAAAGUAAGGCUCCGUAAAACAUGAGCUAAAGGAAGCAAGAGUACUAGGUAAACCUUUCUCCACUUCCAAUCUUUUCAAAAGAGCUGUAGAAGUUGAUACAAUCUCCAAUGGAGACGGUAUGGAAAAGAGAGGAUGGAAAAAGAGGAAUUAUAGGCAUGCUCAUCCUUAAGAAUUGGUGGUUUAGGCCGGGCCCAACGGCUCCCUCCUGUAAUCCCAGCACUUUGGGAGGCCGAGGCAGGUGAAUCACUUGAGGUCAGCAGUUCAAGACCAGCCUGGCCAAUGUGGUGAAACCCCAUCUAUACUAAAAACACAAAAAUUAGCCAGAUGUGCUGGUGUGCGCCUGUAGUCUCAGCUGCUUGGGAGGCUGAGGCAUGAGAAUUGCUUGAACCUGGGAGGCAGAGGUUGCAGUGAGCGCACUCCAGCCUGGGCAACAGAGCAAGACUCCAUCUCAAAAAAAGAAAAAAAAAAGGAAUUGGUUGUUUAAAAACUGAACUUUUUAAAAGACAGAACAAUCAGAGAAGAAAAAUAUCAAAAUGCCAUAGUCAAGGCAGGAGAAGUUUUUCUAAGAGAGCAUGAGAUAGGAAACUAUGUCAAAUGUCAAAGAGACUGAGAAGGAGGGAGGCCCUAAAAAGUCCAUUAGACUUGCAAUACUCUUUCAAUAAGGUGACGGAACAGAAGCCCAGAAACUCAGAAGCCCAGCCCAUGGACUAUAAAAGUGACUACAAAAGAUACGAAUAAGUGGCAAGACCUUUGAUUCCCCAGGCGUAACCAAUCCUUUUUGCUACUGUCAUGUGGGUCACAGCAACAAAAUGGUCUACAAGUUCUUGCCUCUUCUCACCAAGCAGAUGAGCCCUUGGUGGGUGGGAAUGGGUCUCAUUCAUCUUCAUGCACCUAGCACAUAGCCAAGCAUAGAGUAGGCACUCAAUAAAUGUUGGUAGGACUAGUUUCACAUAAGUCCACCACAGGGUAAUAGGAAGAAAGUCUAAAAUUUGGCAUGUACGCCAUGAUUAAACCACCUCUUCUACCAACAUCUACUGUGAUCCUCCAAUGUCUUUUUCUAAACACUGGGGAUUCAAAGAGGAACAGCACACUGAUGAUGCUUGGUAGGUAGAUGUAGUUGAAAGAAUGGCCAAAAGAAUGACUUCAAGAUGAACAGUUUGGGGGAUAAUAUGAAGAAUUCUUCUUUGGUCUGUGGCUUCCACCAGUGUUUACAGAGCUGGUUGCAGUGUGUGGUUUUGCUUCACCAUCAUGGACUGAGCGACGCCUUUAUCCAGAACAUGCCACUGUUCCCUCACUGCUGACUCCUUGGUGCUGGCUUGUCGGCUUUCCCAGCAUCAUACAGCUUGGCCAUAUCAGAGGCUGUGUGCCAUGGUGACCCAGAGUACCUCCUCACCCCACGCUUCUCAGAGUAGCAUGAGAGUAAAAAUAUAAUGGGACAAGACCACUAGUCUAUACAGCCUGUGCUCAGCCUCUGAAAAUGGAAGCAAAAGCAGCCCCAUGGCAGAGUUGUUGGAAUACUGCCCUCUCUAAUUAGGGAGAUCCUUGGAGCAUUGUUAAUCUGGCUUAUUCUAUUAUGGACCUACUCCCUUAUCUGUUUCCCUGAUGCAAUGUGCAAUGUACUUUAUAGCUUCCUCAGCUGACAAGGUAAACAGCCUCUGUAUGUAAAAAGGCAGAGUAGGUUUACUUGCUUAAGACAUGAGCAAGAGUGCAAUUAUUUGAACCAGUUGGUUAGUGUUGCAGGGGAGGGGAGGUGGCAGGGUAAGAUCUUUUCAAAGUGAAGAACAGGUAAGUGCAAGGAAAGUAGCAUUCAUUCGAUCACCAUCAGACCAGGGGGCAUGGGAACCUGUCCAUCGGUAUUCAUACUAACCACGCACAAACACUGGAGAUGAACAAACAUUCAAAUUAACUCUCCAGGAAUGGAAGUACCAUGUCUGCCUUGGAGGUAGAUGUCAAACACUAGUAAUGCAAAGGGCUAACCCAGCUUGCAGAGAUGUUUUAUUUGUGCCACGGCAUUUAACAAACAAAGUUUAAAAAUCAGUUCUCAGCAUUUAAAUACUAGAGGAUUUCACUUUUUAAAAACUUUACAUUUCUGGGUUCUUGGGGAAAGCAGAAGAUGAGCAAUCCUGGGCCCAUAUUCUCAUUUUAAAACACUGGCUAUAGCCAAGUAAUCCCUGACAUCUUUGAGACAGGGCACAGACUCACUUUUCACUACAGUCCCUACAACUUUCUAUUGUCUCAUUGCUUCUGACCCUAUCACAUUCACUCAAUCACAUUUCUGCCCAAUGCCUACAGGCAUUAGGAGUUGAAGACCUCUAAUGUAGGAGAAGAUGAAAGGAGCUGCCAUGCUUAGCUGUAUUGUUACACCGUAUCCAUUUUGUGCUGAUUCUAUUAUCCAGGGAUUGCAUUGUGAUAAAGAGAUUUUAAAGCUGCUUCCUAUUUGGAACUUCAGCCUGCAGGUCCACAUGUUCACUGUCUUGGUUGUUUGCUCCUUUUGAAUUUGCCUUCUUUGAUGUUCAAGAGAUUCCUCCUAGACUCAGUAUUCUAAGACUUAGUGAACACAUCUACUUUUUCUUAACACAUUUUGUAGGUUUGGGCUCUGCCCCAAUUUCCAGCUGAGUCCUUUAUAAAAACAAAAACAAAGCAAAACUGUCUUGUAGGGACCCACUACUCCAUCCUCUUGCUACUUUAACUGCUUAUCUUCUGGCUACUUCCAAAUUCAUCACGUUUUCUGUAACAUGCAGCAAGACAAGCACCUAGGGAAGAAGUGUUUUCUAAAGGGCACAAGGAGUGGAGAAUCUCACUUGUACUAGCUUGAGGAAAACUUUCUAAAAUUCUAGGAUGGGAGCUAGGAAAUCCAGAUAUCUGUAUAUCCCUAGCCAAAUGCUUCAAUUUCCUACAGUGUUAACUAUAAGAUAUUUGUGACACAUGGGCUAUUGUCAGAUAGAUGUAACUCAGGAGUGUAUGAACAGUAGGGUGCACCUGACUCUUCAAGGAUAAAAUGAUGCUUUCUCUUUUGCUCUCUGAUACCACCAAGGGCUUAGCUGUCAUUUAUGAAUGCAGUUACAUGUCAGGUUAACACAUUUAAGAAAUAGUAUCAGUAUAGCCAAACACAUUCCACCAAGAAGAGCUAGGUUGUAACUGUCUUCAUUCUGCCAUUUGGUGGAUUGCAUUCCUAAUACCUCACUUAAUGGUAAAUGUUGUCUAUGGGUAGCACAGAUAAUGCCUCAGGAGGUCAUAUGAGACAAGAGGGAAAGAAUCAUAUUUCCAGGCGCGCUCUAAGUUGAGCAUUACAGGAUCUGAAUCCAUAUGCUACCUCGUCCUAAAAAACAAGGUAGUUGUAUUUAUAUUAUCUACUUCAUGAUCAGUCAGCAGGACAUCUGUCCGGUAAUAUCAUCCAAGAAGCAGAAUUUGCUUUUCUUUUAGGUCUUUGGUUUUAAAGAAGCAUUGGUUUCUAUAAAGAUGUGAAUUUGUUUCCUGUUCCUACAUGGCCCUCACCAUCCCACAGGUUAAACAAAAUGGUCCCCACCUUCCCACUUAUUUCUCAGGUUCUUUAAGAGAAUCUCAAGCAUCUCAGGUAACAGCAUUGAGAAGCUGCUGGACAAACCAAUAGGUUUUCAUGAAAUUUGUAAUACAGUUCAAAUUGAUUGGGAACAUAGAGACUUCUUCAAGCCUUCUUAUUAUCUAUAUGCUAGCAAUUAGAUUACUCUAACACACUACAAAAAUAGUUUCAUACACUGUCUUUAGAAGCUACUAUAGUAAAAAUAAGAAAGAAUCUUCUGUCAACAUUAGGCAUCAGGAUGGUAUCCCUUGUCUGGCAGAAGGCACACGAUGGCAGUCACGGGGUUAGUAAGUGGGAGAG